UACAAAUCUACUGACUUGUACAAAAAUGAGAUUAAAGAGCUGUUCCAUAGAUGUGAAAAUUAUAUGGACUUAGGAGGUGGAUAUGCAGAGGAGAAGAGUUGGAGGACCAAAUUUCAGAUCCUUAACACAUUUGUGUCACAAUAAGGUUAAGAAAUUUUUGGCCUCCCUUUGUAUAUACUUGUGUAUGAAUACAAGUAUAGAUAGUUCUUGGUUUAUGAAUUCCCACUUAAAAUGUUCUUGGGUUACAAGUUUUUUUUUAUCAAAUAUGAAGUAUCAAAAAAAUUGACAAUAUAAACCUUAAAUGUAAUAAAUAAAUGCUAA
Molecule: long non-coding RNA, 321 nt
Filed under: Androctonus crassicauda
Lineage: Eukaryota; Metazoa; Arthropoda; Arachnida; Scorpiones; Buthidae
Source: RNAcentral